RNAcentral lists this ribosomal RNA (253 nucleotides) under uncultured bacterium. RNAcentral's name for it is "partial 16S ribosomal RNA". It matches the Rfam family "Bacterial small subunit ribosomal RNA", at positions 524 to 776 of the family's 1533-position model. The record is from RNAcentral.
UACGAAGGGGGCUAGCGUUGCUCGGAAUCACUGGGCGUAAAGCGCACGUAGGCGGACUCUUAAGUCGGUGGUGAAAUCCUGGAGCUCAACUCCAGAACUGCCUUCGAUACUCUGGAGCUUGAGUACGGGAGAGGAUAGUGGAAUUCCCAGUGUAGAGGUGAAAUUCGUAGAUAUUGGGAAGAACACCGGUGGCGAAGGCGGCUAUCUGGACCGUAACUGACGCUGAGGCGCGAAAGCGUGGGGAGCAAACAGG